GAAAGCAAAAUAAAAUCGGCUUAAAGACCACUCUUAAUUCAACGUAAAGGAAGAUUCUGCUAAAGUGUCUGACCAGACACGUCUUCCUCUACUUGAACAUCAGAAAAACUAUCUCUUAUUCAAAGAUUAACACCUUGUGUCCCAAUGGGAAAAAAGAAACGAUAAACAGUCGGAAGAAGCCUGGAUAAGAGUUUCUUCAAAUGAAAAGCUAAAAUUCUAGAUCAAAAGAUCAAGUUUAAUUUUUUGACUUAGUAGAUCUUGCAGAGUUUGAACAUACAUCAUCAUAUAUAUUAAACAUAUAUCAUUUUGAAUUUUAAUUAUUAUCAUAGUAUCAUCACAAUAAUAUUAAUAUGACAAAAUGGUAAAUAACAAUAAUUUCAAAAAUAUAUAUACGAUAACGCAUUUUACAAAAGAUGGCAAUAUAGUUAUGAAUGGGAAAAAUAAACAUAAUAGUAAAACAUAGAACAUAGAGAUGGUGCCACAUUACAGUUUAACAUCAUUAAUAAGAAUUUUAAUAAGAAUGAAAGAAAAUAGAUUGAAAAACUCCAGACAAGAAAAGCCAAGGAUGUAUCGCGGUUUAUCUCAUUCACGGUGAAAUUUAAAUCUAACCGAGGAGUCUGAGGAGUUUCAUCCUUCGUCGAGAGAGCUGUCCUCGCGUAGGAGGUCCGCAAGGUGAGCAGAUUGUCGGUUGGCUAUCGGAAAUAUUUCCCGGCUCCGAGAAUUUAUCGGGCGUCUGCCCGGAAAUAUUUGAAAAUUCCUUCGACGCUCGCUGCGAAAACGGCGACCAUAGAGAACAGAGCCAUUGGAAGAGGUGUGUGGGUGGAUACGAGGGGAGUCAUCUGGAUCUAGGAUAUUUUUCACACCUUAAUUAGUACGGAUAGAUAGAAGACAGUAAAAUGUCAGAAAAUGUAAAUUUGAUUUUGUGAAAAUUUCUGG
Molecule: long non-coding RNA, 936 nt
Organism: Apis laboriosa (Himalayan honeybee)
Lineage: Eukaryota; Metazoa; Arthropoda; Insecta; Hymenoptera; Apidae
Exons: 3
Source: RefSeq, a predicted model, not a curated record